GACGAACGCUGGCGGCGUGCUUAACACAUGCAAGUCGAACGGAAAGGCCCUGCUUUUGUGGUGUGCUCGAGUGGCGAACGGGUGCGUAACAGGGGAGUAACCUGCCCUUGACUUUGGGAUAACUUCAGGAAACUGGGGCUAAUACCGGAUCGGAGCCCCUGCUGCAUGGUGGGGGUUGGAAAGUCUCGGCGGUUGGGGUUGGACGCGCGGCUUAUCAGCUUGUUGGUGGGGUAGUGGCUUACCAAGGCUUUGAAGGGUACCCGGCCUGAGAGGGUGACCGGCCACAAUGGGACUGAGAUACGGACCAGACUCCUACGGGAGGCAGCAGUGGGGAAUAUUGCACAAUGGGCGGAAGCGUGAUGCAGAAACGCCGCGUGCGGGAUGACGGCCUUCGGGUUGUAAACCGCUUUCGCCUGUGACGAAGCGGGAGUGACGGUAAUGGGUAAAGAAGCACCGGCUAACUACGUG
This 468-nucleotide ribosomal RNA is filed under the name uncultured bacterium. RNAcentral describes it as "partial 16S ribosomal RNA". It matches the Rfam family "Bacterial small subunit ribosomal RNA", at positions 28 to 507 of the family's 1533-position model. The record is from RNAcentral.